GUCGUUCUCUUUCUCUUUCCAGGUUUGUUGAGGUUCAUCAUCGUGUCUGUGGGUUUAGCAGCUCUCAUAAUAAUCGUGGUGGCAGUCAGCAUGUGGACAAGAACUAAAGGGAGAAAAACACAGAUGGAUGAAAACAUGGCGGCUGAUGAUGAAGAUGAUGGUGCAGUGAACUACGAGAACGUCACAUCUUCUGUUUGAGUUUGAGCAACACCUCUGCCUCCAUCAGACUCCACCCAUCAACAACUGGUACACCAGCUCAGCUGGAGAGUUUGAGAGCAUGCAUAGUUUUUGUCUUUUGUUCAGAACACAGCAGCUGGAUUUGAACUGUCUGAACUGGAAACAGCUUUUAACUCGUUUAACUUCCUUAAAUUUGCUUCUGACCAAAUCAUUUAGUCCUGACUUUAAGAUGAGCUGAGCAGCUUUGAAGCUACAGCUGAGCGCACGUCUUCAUUCAAGAUGAACUCAUCUGAACUUCGCGAACUGCGUGAGAGCUUAGCUCCUGACCAAACUGCUGUAAAUAUAUAAUACAGGAGGUUCAUUUACAUGAGAUGAACUCAUCAGCUUUUAGCUUUGUUGCUGUUGUUAACAUGUUUCAGAGUCCAGUGUGUGUCUGGCUUGAAUGAGCUUUGAGUCUUAAUGGAUUCACUCAGUUAGUUUUGUCUUUAUUUGACAUGAUAAUUAUAUAAUCUGCAAAUAAAGAAGUGUUUAACAGUCA
Long non-coding RNA from Larimichthys crocea (large yellow croaker), 715 nucleotides. RefSeq lists it as uncharacterized. The transcript has 3 exons. NCBI's taxonomy places the organism in Eukaryota, Metazoa, Chordata, Actinopteri, Sciaenidae. The record is from RefSeq and is a predicted model, not a curated record.